ACAUGCAGUCGAGCGGAGCGAGGGUGCUUGCACCUUAGCUUAGCGGCGGACGGGUCUCUACCGCUUAGGAAUCUGCCUAUUAGUGGGGGACAACAUUCCGCUUGGAAUGCUAAUACCGCAUACGCCCUACGGGGGAAAGCAGGGGAUCUUCGGACCUUGCGCUAAUAGAUGAGCCUAAUUCGGAUUAGCUAGUUGGUGGGGUAAAGGCCUACCAAGGCGACGAUCUGUAGCGGGUCUGAGAGGAUGAUCCGCCACACUGGGACUGAGACACGGCCCAGACUCCUACGGGAGGCAGCAGUGGGGAAUAUUGGACAAUGGGCGGAAGCCUGAUCCAGCCAUGCCGCGUGUGUGAAGAAGGCCUUUUGGUUGUAAAGCACUUUAAGCGAGGAGGAGGCUACUAGUACUAAUACUACUGGAUAGUGGACGUUACUCGCAGAAUAAGCACCGGCUAACUCUGUGCCAGCAGCCGCGGUAAUACAGAGGGUGCGAGCGUUAAUCGGAUUUACUGGGCGUAAAGCGUGCGUAGGCGGCUGAUUAAGUCGGAUGUGAAAUCCCUGAGCUUAACUUAGGAAUUGCAUUCGAUACUGGUCAGCUAGAGUAUGGGAGAGGAUGGUAGAAUUCCAGGUGUAGCGGUGAAAUGCGUAGAG
RNAcentral lists this ribosomal RNA (647 nucleotides) under bacterium Sed6. RNAcentral's name for it is "bacterial SSU rRNA". It matches the Rfam family "Bacterial small subunit ribosomal RNA", at positions 53 to 695 of the family's 1533-position model. The record is from RNAcentral.